UCCGUGUUAACCACGGCAGUCUCUUUAGAGAGCCCAACUGAAUGCUGGCAACUAAAGACAAGGGUUGCGCUCGUUGCGGGACUUAACCCAACAUGUCACCACACGAGCUGACGACAGCCAUGCAGCACCUGUCUACAGGUCGUAUUGCUACGAAAGCUCGAUCUCUCGAGUUGUCCUGCGAUGUCAAACCCAGGUAAGGUUCUUCGCGUUGCUUCGAAUUAAACCACAUGAUCCACCGCUUGUGCGGGCCCCCGUCAAUUCCUUUGAGUUUUAGUCUUGCGACCGUACUUCCCAGGCGGGGUACUUAGUGCGUUAGCUCCGGUUCGGCGGGGGUCAAGACCCACCAAACCUAGUACCCAUCGUUUACAGCGUGGACUAC
Molecule: unclassified non-coding RNA, 379 nt
Filed under: uncultured Oligoflexales bacterium
Lineage: Bacteria; Pseudomonadati; Bdellovibrionota; Oligoflexia; Oligoflexales
Description: contains 16S-23S intergenic spacer region
Source: RNAcentral